RNAcentral lists this unclassified non-coding RNA (276 nucleotides) under Recurvomyces sp. RNAcentral's name for it is "partial contains 5.8S ribosomal RNA, internal transcribed spacer 2, and large subunit ribosomal RNA". The stretch from base 1 to 71 matches the Rfam family "5.8S ribosomal RNA", at positions 84 to 154 of the family's 154-position model. Lineage: Eukaryota; Fungi; Ascomycota; Dothideomycetes; Mycosphaerellales; Teratosphaeriaceae. The record is from RNAcentral.
GUGAAUCAUCGAAUCUUUGAACGCACAUUGCGCCCCCUGGCACUCCGGGGGGCAUGCCUGUUCGAGCGUCAUUUCACCACUCAAGCCUCGCUUGGUGUUGGGCGUCGGGGUCUCCCCCGUGCCUCAAUUUCACCGGCUGGACCGUUCGAUUCUCAGCGUUGUGGCAACUAUUCGCUGCGGGAGACGACGGGGCACGCCGCUAAACCUCUCAUCAAAGGUUGACCUCGGAUCAGGUAGGGAUACCCGCUGAACUUAAGCAUAUCAAUAAGCGGAGGA